Molecule: ribosomal RNA, 253 nt
Filed under: uncultured bacterium
Lineage: Bacteria
Description: partial 16S ribosomal RNA
Rfam family: Bacterial small subunit ribosomal RNA
Source: RNAcentral
UACGUAGGGGGCGAGCGUUGUCCGGAAUCAUUGGGCGUAAAGAGCGUGUAGGCGGCUUGGUAAGUCCGCUGUGAAAGUCCAGGGCUCAACCCUGGAAAGCCAGUGGAUACUGUCAAGCUAGAGUCCGGAAGAGGCGAGUGGAAUUCCUGGUGUAGCGGUGAAAUGCGCAGAUAUCAGGAGGAACACCAAUGGCGAAGGCAGCUCGCUGGGACGGUACUGACGCUGAGACGCGAAAGCGUGGGGAGCAAACAGG